RNAcentral lists this long non-coding RNA (215 nucleotides) under Elaeis guineensis (African oil palm). Its description in RNAcentral is "long non-coding RNA (EGUI_LNC072884)". Lineage: Eukaryota; Viridiplantae; Streptophyta; Magnoliopsida; Arecales; Arecaceae. The record is from RNAcentral.
GCAUGAUCUCUAGCUAAACAACGAGCCUCUUCAAUCAUCUUUUCUGAACCUCUUCAGCACAGCAUAUAUAGCCAUCUUCAUGAUGCAACAACGGAUAAUAAACAACGGAUUAUAGAAAACCUCAGAAUUUCACUAAAUAGUGCGGCCAUGGUUGAAUUUUGAAACUUAACCUCGCUCAUCUGAGGAGUACAGCUCUCAAGCAACAACAAUAGCAG